Non-coding RNA from Oryza barthii, 130 nucleotides. The record is from Rfam. NCBI's taxonomy places the organism in Eukaryota, Viridiplantae, Streptophyta, Magnoliopsida, Poales, Poaceae.
UAUCCUAGAUUGCUUUCAAGGUCAUUUCUUUAGGGAACCCCAUUCCCAUAAUUCAGUAUCCAAAGAUGGUUGUUGUAUGUAUGGGAAUAAGGGUUCCCUAACGAAAUGAUCUUGGACGCAAUCUAGGAGU